UUGAAAGGGAAACGAUUGAAGUCAGUCGUACUUAUGGGUAAUCAGCCUUUUGGGUGUGAUUUUGUGGAGCGUGAGGAGUUAAACGCCUUCAUGCCUGCAUAUUCGUGCACUUUGGGUGUACUUGCCCGUGUGUAAGUUAACAUCAAUUUUGGUGGUCAUAAAAUGGCUGGAGGAAUGUAGCUUCGAUCUUGUAUUGAAGUGUUAUAGCCUUCGGUAGAUGUGACGAUCGGGAUUGAGGAUUGCAACGGAUACCCUUCGGGGCUACCUGUCUGAUCUCUGAUUGUUGCUCUGGUGCCGAAAGCUUGCUUACGGUUAUUAAAGUCGAUGGUCAAUAGGUUAGAAUGGGUUAAAUUCGUUAAG
RNAcentral lists this ribosomal RNA (360 nucleotides) under uncultured Glomeromycotina. RNAcentral describes it as "LSU rRNA". The record is from RNAcentral. Lineage: Eukaryota; Fungi; Glomeromycota.